GACGAACGCUGGCGGCGUGCUUAACACAUGCAAGUCGAGCGGUAAGGCCCUUUCGGGGGUACACGAGCGGCGAACGGGUGAGUAACACGUGGGUGACCUGCCCUCAGCUCUGGGAUAAGCCUGGGAAACUGGGUCUAAUACUGGAUAUGACUCCACGGUGCAUGUCGUGGGGUGGAAAGCCUUGUGCGGCUGAGGAUGGGCCCGCGGCCUAUCAGCUUGUUGGUGGGGUGANGGGCCUACCAAGGCGACGACGGGUAGCCGGCCUGAGAGGGCGACCGGCCACACUGGGACUGAGAUACGGCCCAGACUCCUACGGGAGGCAGCAGUGGGGAAUCUUGCGCAAUGGGCGAAAGCCUGACGCAGCGACGCCGCGUGAGGGAUGACGGCCUGGUU
Molecule: ribosomal RNA, 393 nt
Filed under: uncultured bacterium
Lineage: Bacteria
Description: bacterial SSU rRNA
Rfam family: Bacterial small subunit ribosomal RNA
Source: RNAcentral